RNAcentral lists this ribosomal RNA (780 nucleotides) under Halobacillus litoralis. Its description in RNAcentral is "bacterial SSU rRNA". It matches the Rfam family "Bacterial small subunit ribosomal RNA", at positions 103 to 866 of the family's 1533-position model. The record is from RNAcentral. Lineage: Bacteria; Bacillati; Bacillota; Bacilli; Caryophanales; Bacillaceae.
CGGGUGAGUAACACGUGGGCAACCUGCCUGUAAGACCGGAAUAACCCCGGGAAACCGGGGCUAAUGCCGGGUAAUACUUUUCUUCGCAUGAAGGAAAGUUGAAAGAUGGCUUCUUGCUAUCACUUACAGAUGGGCCCGCGGCGCAUUAGCUAGUUGGUGAGGUAACGGCUCACCAAGGCGACGAUGCGUAGCCGACCUGAGAGGGUGAUCGGCCACACUGGGACUGAGACACGGCCCAGACUCCUACGGGAGGCAGCAGUAGGGAAUCUUCCGCAAUGGACGAAAGUCUGACGGAGCAACGCCGCGUGAACGAUGAAGGUCUUCGGAUCGUAAAGUUCUGUUGUUAGGGAAGAACAAGUACCGUGCGAAUAGAGCGGUACCUUGACGGUACCUAACGAGGAAGCCCCGGCUAACUACGUGCCAGCAGCCGCGGUAAUACGUAGGGGGCAAGCGUUGUCCGGAAUUAUUGGGCGUAAAGCGCGCGCAGGCGGUUCCUUAAGUCUGAUGUGAAAGCCCACGGCUCAACCGUGGAGGGUCAUUGGAAACUGGGGAACUUGAGGACAGAAGAGGAGAGUGGAAUUCCACGUGUAGCGGUGAAAUGCGUAGAUAUGUGGAGGAACACCAGUGGCGAAGGCGACUCUCUGGUCUGUUUCUGACGCUGAGGUGCGAAAGCGUGGGUAGCAAACAGGAUUAGAUACCCUGGUAGUCCACGCCGUAAACGAUGAGUGCUAGGUGUUAGGGGGCUUCCACCCCUUAGUGCUGAAGUUAACGCAUUAAGCA